This 941-nucleotide ribosomal RNA is filed under the name Alteromonas alvinellae. RNAcentral describes it as "bacterial SSU rRNA". It matches the Rfam family "Bacterial small subunit ribosomal RNA", at positions 56 to 993 of the family's 1533-position model. Lineage: Bacteria; Pseudomonadati; Pseudomonadota; Gammaproteobacteria; Alteromonadales; Alteromonadaceae. The record is from RNAcentral.
UGCAAGUCGAACGGUAACAUUUCUAGCUUGCUAGAAGAUGACGAGUGGCGGACGGGUGAGUAAUGCUUGGGAACUUGCCUUCAGGAGGGGGAUAACAGUUGGAAACGACUGCUAAUACCGCAUAAUGUCUACGGACCAAAGCGGGCUUUUAGCUCGCACCUGAAGAGAGGCCCAAGUGAGAUUAGCUAGUUGGUAAGGUAAAGGCUUACCAAGGCAACGAUCUCUAGCUGUUCUGAGAGGAAGAUCAGCCACACUGGGACUGAGACACGGCCCAGACUCCUACGGGAGGCAGCAGUGGGGAAUAUUGCACAAUGGGGGAAACCCUGAUGCAGCCAUGCCGCGUGUGUGAAGAAGGCCUUCGGGUUGUAAAGCACUUUCAGUUGUGAGGAAAGGUUGGUAGUUAAUACCUGCCAGCUGUGACGUUAACAACAGAAGAAGCACCGGCUAACUCCGUGCCAGCAGCCGCGGUAAUACGGAGGGUGCGAGCGUUAAUCGGAAUUACUGGGCGUAAAGCGCACGCAGGCGGUUUGUUAAGCUAGAUGUGAAAGCCCCGGGCUCAACCUGGGAUGGUCAUUUAGAACUGGCAGACUAGAGUCUUGGAGAGGGGGGUGGAAUUCCAGGUGUAGCGGUGAAAUGCGUAGAUAUCUGGAGGAACAUCAGUGGCGAAGGCGGCCCCCUGGCCAAAGACUGACGCUCAUGUGCGAAAGUGUGGGUAGCGAACAGGAUUAGAUACCCUGGUAGUCCACACCGUAAACGCUGUCUACUAGCUGUUUGUGAAUUUAAUUCGUGAGUAGCGAAGCUAACGCGCUAAGUAGACCGCCUGGGGAGUACGGCCGCAAGGUUAAAACUCAAAUGAAUUGACGGGGGCCCGCACAAGCGGUGGAGCAUGUGGUUUAAUUCGAUGCAACGCGAAGAACCUUACCUACACUUGACAUGCAGAG